Molecule: ribosomal RNA, 690 nt
Filed under: Triticum aestivum (bread wheat)
Lineage: Eukaryota; Viridiplantae; Streptophyta; Magnoliopsida; Poales; Poaceae
Description: partial small subunit ribosomal RNA
Source: RNAcentral
AUGAAAAUCUUGGCCUGGAACUGCCGGGGACUGGGGCGGCCUCGGACAGUUCAGGAGUUGACACGCCUUGUGCGUGCUCACUGCCCGGAGUUUGUGUUCCUCUCCGAAACUAGGCAAGGUAAGUCUUUUAUGGAGGGUGUGCAUACAAUUGGCUUCAGGCACAGUAUCAUUGUCUCUGUGAAAGGGAAGGGGGGAGGCCUUGCCCUCUUCUGGGAUGAUUCCGUAGAUGUCGAGUUAAUAAACUACGGAGUCCAUCAUGUCGAUGUAAAAGUUUCUGUUGCUGGUGAAAUAAAAUGGAGAGGAACCUUUGUUUACGGUGAGCCCAGGUCCCAGGACCGACAUUGUAUGUGGGAUCUGUUGAGACGCAUCAAACCAAAGGCUAUUGAACCUUGGCUCAUGAUCGGCGAUUUUAACGAGGCCAUGUGGCAAAGCGAACAUAUCUCUAGAAAGAAAAGGAGUGAACCCCUGAUGAAAGCUUUCAGGGAAGUUUUAUCUAAAUGUAAUUUGCAUGACCUUAGGUUUAAAGGAGUGGGCUGGACGUAUAAUAACAAUCAAUUAGGGGAUAAAAAUGUUCGAGUGCGGUGGAUAGAGCUCUCGCUUCGCCUGAAUGGCAGGACACUUUCUCUGAUGCGUGCGUCAAACAUCUUGUGUCGCCGAGAUCCGACCACUGUCCUCUUUUACUCUUCCUAG